Molecule: ribosomal RNA, 496 nt
Filed under: uncultured bacterium
Lineage: Bacteria
Description: partial 16S ribosomal RNA
Rfam family: Bacterial small subunit ribosomal RNA
Source: RNAcentral
AUGCACGCUGGCGGCGUGCCUAAUACAUGCCGGUCGAGCGAACAGACGAGGAGCUUGCUCCUCUGACGUUAGCGGCGGACGGGUGAGUAACACGUGGAUAACCUACCUAUAAGACUGGGAUAACUUCGGGAAACCGGAGCUAAUACCGGAUAAUAUAUUGAACCGCAUGGUUCAAUAGUGAAAGACGGUUUUGCUGUCACUUAUAGAUGGAUCCGCGCCGCAUUAGCUAGUUGGUAAGGUAACGGCUUACCAAGGCAACGAUGCGUAGCCGACCUGAGAGGGUGAUCGGCCACACUGGAACUGAGACACGGUCCAGACUCCUACGGGAGGCAGCAGUAGGGAAUCUUCCGCAAUGGGCGAAAGCCUGACGGAGCAACGCCGCGUGAGUGAUGAAGGUCUUCGGAUCGUAAAACUCUGUUAUUAGGGAAGAACAAAUGUGUAAGUAACUAUGCACGUCUUGACGGUACCUAAUCAGAAAGCCACGGCUAACUACGUG